UUUCAGUACAUCAGCAGGUAGUUUCUGGUAUGCGGCAAAAGGUAUCACUCUGUGGCUUCGCGAUGCCUUAGACAAACUAUGAUGGUCCUGACAUUCUGUACAUAGUCCCUCGUCACAUUCUGUACACCAGACUAUAGAUGGUAUAGUGAUGUGACGGAGGUCACAGACACCACAAUUUUGUAAGGCUGCAGCCAUUUAACACACUACAAA
Molecule: long non-coding RNA, 210 nt
Filed under: Mytilus galloprovincialis (Mediterranean mussel)
Lineage: Eukaryota; Metazoa; Mollusca; Bivalvia; Mytilida; Mytilidae
Source: RNAcentral